This 464-nucleotide ribosomal RNA is filed under the name Bacillus stratosphericus. RNAcentral describes it as "bacterial SSU rRNA". It matches the Rfam family "Bacterial small subunit ribosomal RNA", at positions 27 to 474 of the family's 1533-position model. The record is from RNAcentral. Lineage: Bacteria; Bacillati; Bacillota; Bacilli; Caryophanales; Bacillaceae.
GAACGAACGCCGACGGCGUGCCUAAGACAUGCAAGUCGAGCGGACAGAAGCGAGCGUGCUCCCGGAUGCUACCGGCGGACGGGUGAGUAACACGUGGGUAACCUGCCUGUAAGACUGGGAUAACUCCGGGAAACCGGAGCUAAUACCGGAUAGUUCCUUGAACCGCAUGGUUCAAGGAUGAAAGACGGUUUCGGCUGUCACUUACAGAUGGACCCGCGGCGCAUUAGCUAGUUGGUGAGGUAACGGCUCACCAAGGCGACGAUGCGUAGCCGACCUGAGAGGGUGAUCGGCCACACUGGGACUGAGACACGGCCCAGACUCCUACGGGAGGCAGCAGUAGGGAAUCUUCCGCAAUGGACGAAAGUCUGACGGAGCAACGCCGCGUGAGUGAUGAAGGUUUUCGGAUCGUAAAGCUCUGUUGUUAGGGAAGAACAAGUGCAAGAGUAACUGCUUGCACCAUGACG